CGGGGCGUAGCGCAGCCUGGUAGCGCACUUGCUUCGGGAGCAAGGGGUCCCGAGUUCAAAUCUCGGCGCCCCGACCA
RNAcentral lists this transfer RNA (77 nucleotides) under Acidobacteriota bacterium. RNAcentral's name for it is "Acidobacteria bacterium (stromatolite metagenome) tRNA-Pro". It matches the Rfam family "tRNA". From Rfam's summary of the family: Transfer RNA (tRNA) molecules are approximately 80 nucleotides in length. Their secondary structure includes four short double-helical elements and three loops (D, anti-codon, and T loops). Lineage: Bacteria; Pseudomonadati; Acidobacteriota. The record is from RNAcentral.